This 253-nucleotide ribosomal RNA is filed under the name uncultured bacterium. Its description in RNAcentral is "partial 16S ribosomal RNA". It matches the Rfam family "Bacterial small subunit ribosomal RNA", at positions 524 to 776 of the family's 1533-position model. The record is from RNAcentral.
UACGGAGGGGGCAAGCGUUAUUCGGAAUUAUUGGGCGUAAAGGGCGCGUAGGCGGCUAGAUGUGUCAAAGGUGAAAUCCCUCGGCUCAACUGAGGAACUGCCUUUGAAACUGUCUGGCUUGAGGCCGGGAGAGGGUAGCGGAAUUCCCAGUGUAGCGGUGAAAUGCGUAGAUAUUGGGAGGAACACCAGUGGCGAAGGCGGCUACCUGGACCGGUUCUGACGCUGAGGCGCGAAAGCGUGGGGAGCAAACAGG